UAGUCUGCUGGAACUCUCACAAGAUCUUGGCAUGAGAACUCAUUUCAGGCUGCAAUCUCAUGAGAUUUGUCAGGACUGUUGUGGGUUAUUUAAAGCUGGACUGGCCAAUGGUGAGGGGGCAGUUAUUGAGGAGAAGCUAUGCUGACUUGCUUGGAAUACUGUGUCCUGUUCUGAGGCCUGCAAUUCAAGAAGGACAUUGAUCAACUGGAACAGGUUCAGAGGAAGGUGACCAAGAUGAGAAGAAAGUGUUUCCUGUUCUGCUGCAGUAAUGAGUGAAGUUGAUAUUUGGGGUGCCAAGAUCAAGGAGUCCUCUCAUGAAUUCUGGCGCUCGCAGAUUUCAAACUUCAGAGCUUCAGACGAAGGAAGAAACAGCCACGGAAGAAUAGCCAUGACUUUCAAAGGAGAACAACACGUUGCUGGCUGGGGACUCAUUCAUGCAACUUCCAUUGAUAUAUCAACAUAUUAGUUUGGGGACCUCAACUUUCAAAGCAAAUAUCACCCUGUCACAAAUAAGGAGCCCUCAAGUCAAGCCAGGCGGUCUGUUUUGCAAAAGUUUUCCAUCUAACUCUCUGGAAGUGCCAUGUCAGUUGGGUUCACGCUUGACACAGAAGCACGUCUUGGAGUCUCUAUGAUGUUUGACAGUGAGUGAUUCUGACCGAAGAAGACAAAUCCCAGACAUUGGUAGCAAAACUUGGAGAGGUAUCAGGUCCCUGAAAGACCACUGUUGGGCUGCAUUCAGCAUGGAGCGGCAUGGCAAGUUGCAUAACUUUGAAUUACACUACUCAAUAGGCUUAACACUGAUUGUGAGCUGAACACAUUUGGGUAGAACAGGAUCCAUGGACAUUAUUUAGCUGGAACCAGGACACCCCUUGGGACAAAUGUUGAAACAAAAUGCAAAAGAUAACUGGACAGGAUACAACAGAUUCCUCCAAGCUGAUAUGAGAGACUGAUCACCAGUUAUCAGAAACAUUUAAUUGCAGGUAUUGCUGCCCAGGAAAGUGCAACCAGUUACCGAGUGCAGGGUUCACAUACUUUUUCAUGCAAGGAUGUUUGUUGUUGAAGCCUUCUGUUGGGUGAAUAUUUAAAAUAUAUCCUUUUUGCCUGUGUUACUUAUUCAGUGUGGUUGCCUUUCUCUCUUAUCAGGGUUUAGCUUAGUUAUGUUUUGAGUAAGAAUUGUGCUAACAUACAGACCAUCCUAGGGGGUUGACAAUAGGGGUGUGCGAGCCGACUCAAAUUGAGCCGGGCUCAAAUUCAAUCCGACUCGGUUCGUAGGUUCAAAGAGACAGCUUGUGAGCCACCUCAAGGGGCUCGAGGGAUUCCUGUCAAUCCAGCAGGAGCCAGGCCAAAAGUGAUCAGGUUUGAGGGCCUUGUGGGAGGCCAGCUAACUGUCUAAUGGGGCUAGAGGCAAGAAGUAUAAGAGCAAGCAAAAGUCAAGCUCAAUAAAAGGCAAUCAACAAUCAGAAAGUUGAAGCAGGUAAUAUAAAACAGGCAGGAGUUCAAAUUCCAAAGAAAGCAGAAACUAGACAGGGUCCUCUCCAGAGAGAUGAGAUACUCAAACCAAAUGUUUCUCAUUGAGAUGGGGGUUUUAUAAGGCUUGAUGGAGAUAGAUUGGUCCUUGAAGUCAGCAGACCAAAUGCUAAGUCAGUUUGUAAACUCAUCAGGUAUAGUUUCCUCUCACCUGAUGUUUUACAUUUGCAUUCUCCAUUUGCAUUCUCCAGACAAGCUAGGACCUUGAAGGAGGAAAACCCAUAAUAAGUAAUGAGGAAUGGGAAGGAGCAAAUUACUGUUGCUAGAGAAGCAUGUAUACUAUCGAAACCCAUUGCUUUGGUCAAGGAACAUUAGCCAAUGUUGAAUAUGUAAGGAUUGUGAAAAGUAAUAGCGGCUCAGCCAUCUUCUUGUUCAAAAAUAUUCCAAGGGUGCUAACAAUUAUAUUACUCGUCUACAAUGAGAAGUGAUCAUGUGAGUAAAAACAUUGUCAAAAUAUUUGUGGUCUAAUUUUGGAUGUGAUUUAGAAGGAAGAUGUGAAUAACACUAAACAGAUAUCAAAACUAGAAAUUCCAGUUACAGAAAAGAAUUGGAAGCUGUAUGAAACACACACACACAUUCUUAUCAGUGAAACAGAGAGAGAGGGACAUAGAAUCCUGUAUGGAUGGUCUUUGACCUUACAAAGAUUUCAUAGGAUCUAUCAAUGUGACUUGAUUAGUUCUUGCAAAACUCUGAUGUCGUUUCCAAUGUCUGUGGUGAGAAUACCUUCAGUUAGAAAGUUUUGGCAAAAAGUAUUAUAUAUCAUUUUUGUAAUGACUAGGAUUAAGCUGAGAUUGGUUCCUUUUAUGAUACUGUUGAAUGUUUAAAAAGGUACUGAUGUGUGGGAUCAGAAGACUGCCUGAAAAUCUGUUAUUGGCUGCUGAGGUGGUAGCUGCAGAGCAUUGGCAAUAUAAUGGGCCACUGCACGCUAUGGGAUAGCUUAGGAAAGCAUUUUCAGUAGCUGAAAUGGACACAUUAACGCGACUGAAAUUGUUUUGGAAUCGAAACAGAAAAUGUGAUGAACUGUUGCAGAGAUGGGUCUCUUUUGUUGAAUAUUACUGAACAAUUAUUGAAGGUGUUCUCAGAGAAACAUCACUUUUUCCCCAGUUCAGUAAUGUAUUUA
Hemicordylus capensis (graceful crag lizard) is the source of this 2647-nucleotide long non-coding RNA. RefSeq lists it as uncharacterized. Lineage: Eukaryota; Metazoa; Chordata; Lepidosauria; Squamata; Cordylidae. The transcript has 7 exons. The record is from RefSeq and is a predicted model, not a curated record.